GAUGAACGCUGGCGGCGUGCCUAACACAUGCAAGUCGAGCGAACAGACGAGGAGCUUGCUCCUCUGACGUUAGCGGCGGACGGGUGAGUAACACGUGGAUAACCUACCUAUAAGACUGGGAUAACUUCGGGAAACCGGAGCUAAUACCGGAGAAUAUAUUGAACCGCAUGGAGCAAUAGUGAAAGACGGUUUUGCCGUCACUUAUAGAUGGAUCCGCGCCGCAUUAGCUAGUUGGUAAGGUAACGGCUUACCAAGGCAACGAUGCGUAGCCGACCUGAGAGGAUGAUCGGCCACACUGGAACUGAGACACGGUCCAGACUCCUACGGGAGGCAGCAGUAGGGAAUCUUCCGCAAUGGGCGAAAGCUUGACCGAGCAACGCCGCGUGAGUGAUGAAGGUCUUCGGAUCGUAAAACUCUUUUAUUAGGGAAGAACAACUGUGUAAGUAACUAUGCACGUCUUGACGGUACCUAAUCAGAAAGCCACGGCUAACUACGUG
Molecule: ribosomal RNA, 497 nt
Filed under: uncultured bacterium
Lineage: Bacteria
Description: partial 16S ribosomal RNA
Rfam family: Bacterial small subunit ribosomal RNA
Source: RNAcentral